UCUGCUAUGUCAUGCAGGUCACCAGGGA
This 28-nucleotide non-coding RNA is filed under the name Homo sapiens (human). The record is from RNAcentral. Lineage: Eukaryota; Metazoa; Chordata; Mammalia; Primates; Hominidae.